RNAcentral lists this ribosomal RNA (254 nucleotides) under uncultured bacterium. RNAcentral describes it as "partial 16S ribosomal RNA". It matches the Rfam family "Bacterial small subunit ribosomal RNA", at positions 524 to 776 of the family's 1533-position model. The record is from RNAcentral.
UACGUAGGGUGCAAGCGUUAAUCGGAAUUACUGGGCGUAAAGCGUGCGCAGGCGGUUUCGUAAGUCUGUCGUGAAAUCCCCGGGCUCAACCUGGGAAUGGCGAUGGAGACUGCGAGGCUAGAGUUUGGCAGAGGGGGGUAGAAUUCCACGUGUAGCAGUGAAAUGCGUAGAGAUGUGGAGGAACACCGAUGGCGAAGGCAGCCCCCCUGGGUCAAAACUGACGCUCAUGCACGAAAGCGUGGGGAGCAAACAGG